RNAcentral lists this ribosomal RNA (253 nucleotides) under uncultured bacterium. RNAcentral describes it as "partial 16S ribosomal RNA". It matches the Rfam family "Bacterial small subunit ribosomal RNA", at positions 524 to 776 of the family's 1533-position model. The record is from RNAcentral.
UACAGAGGUCUCAAGCGUUGUUCGGAUUCAUUGGGCGUAAAGGGUGCGUAGGUGGCGCUGUAAGUCGGGUGUGAAAUUUCGGAGCUUAACUCCGAAACUGCAUUCGAUACUGCCGUGCUUGAGGACUGGAAAGGAGACUGGAAUUUACGGUGUAGCGGUGAAAUGCGUAGAUAUCGUAAGGAAGACCAGUGGCGAAGGCGGGUCUCUGGGCCGGUACUGACGCUGAGGAGCGAAAGCAUGGGGAGCGAACAGG